GUGCGUAACGUGCAUUCUGGCGGUGCCGGGAGCGGGGCGAGGAGGAGGGUGGGUAUGAGGCGGUAGCGGACCGCGGAGUCGAGACCUACCCGAACGACGCGGGCGAGCGGGGCUUUGGACGCCGGUGGAGACGCAGGCGAGGGCUGCUGUAAAAUAUUACAGGCAUACUUUGGAGAUGUUAUGGGUUUGGUUCCACAUCACUGCAAUAAAAUGGAGCCUCGCUCUGUCGCCAAGACUGGAGUUCAGCGGCACGAUCUCGGCUCACUGCAAGCUCCACCUCCGAGGUUCACGCCAUUCUCCUGCCUCAGCCUCCCAAGUAGCUGGGACUACAGGCGCCUGCCACCAUGCCCGGCUAAUUUUUUUUUGUAUUUUUAGUAGAGGCGGGUUUCACCGUGUUAGCCAGGAUGUUCUCUAUCUCCUGACCUCGUGAUCUGCCCGCCUUGACCUCCCAAAGUGCUGGGACUACAGGCGUGAGCCACCGCGCCCGGCCUCGUGUGAUUUUUAACAAAACUUUAAAAUUUGGAAUAAUCAAUAACUUCAAAUCCAUAGGAAGCUAUAAAUAUAGUACAGAGAAGUCCUGUGUAUUCUUCUAGUUUGCUUAAUGGUUACAUCUUACAUAACUAUAAUAUAAUGUGAAACCAGGAAAUUGAUAUUUGUGCAAUGUGUGUGUAUAGUGUCAUGCACAUUUUAUCUCAUAUGUAGAUUCCUGUAGCCACCGCCAUAGUCAAAAUACAGAACUAUUCCAUUACCCUAAAGACUUCCCUCAUGCCCUUUUAGUCACAUCCUGUGUCAGCAGUCCCCAGGGCUGCCCCCAGUUUUUGUAAUUCACUUGAGGCUCUCACAGGACAUAUUUAUUCCUUGC
Molecule: long non-coding RNA, 862 nt
Filed under: Homo sapiens (human)
Lineage: Eukaryota; Metazoa; Chordata; Mammalia; Primates; Hominidae
Source: RNAcentral